AGCCCAGAGCCUGAAUCAGUGUGUGUGUUAGUGGAAGCGUCUGGAAAGGCGCGCGAUACAGGGUGACAGCCCCGUACACAAAAAUGCACAUAUUGUGAGCUCGAUGAGUAGGGCGGGACACGUGGUAUCCUGUCUGAAUAUGGGGGGACCAUCCUCCAAGGCUAAAUACUCCUGACUGACCGAUAGUGAACCAGUACCGUGAGGGAAAGGCGAAAAGAACCCCGGCGAGGGGAGUGAAAAAGAACCUGAAACCGUGUACGUACAAGCAGUGGGAGCCUCUUUUAUGGGGUGACUGCGUACCUUUUGUAUAAUGGGUCAGCGACUUAUAUUCUGUAGCAAGGUUAACCGAAUAGGGGAGCCGAAGGGAAACCGAGUCUUAACUGGGCGUUAAGUUGCAGGGUAUAGACCCGAAACCCGGUGAUCUAGCCAUGGGCAGGUUGAAGGUUGGGUAACACUAACUGGAGGACCGAACCGACUAAUGUUGAAAAAUUAGCGGAUGACUUGUGGCUGGGGGUGAAAGGCCAAUCAAACCGGGAGAUAGCUGGUUCUCCCCGAAAGCUAUUUAGGUAGCGCCUCGUGAAUUCAUCUCCGGGGGUAGAGCACUGUUUCGGCAAGGGGGUCAUCCCGACUUACCAACCCGAUGCAAACUGCGAAUACCGGAGAAUGUUAUCACGGGAGACACACGGCGGGUGCUAACGUCCGUCGUGAAGAGGGAAACAACCCAGACCGCCAGCUAAGGUCCCAAAGUCAUGGUUAAGUGGGAAACGAUGUGGGAAGGCCCAGACAGCCAGGAUGUUGGCUUAGAAGCAGCCAUCAUUUAAAGAAAGCGUAAUAGCUCACUGGUCGAGUCGGCCUGCGCGGAAGAUGUAACGGGGCUAAACCAUGCACCGAAGCUGCGGCAGCGACGCUUAUGCGUUGUUGGGUAGGGGAGCGUUCUGUAAGCCUGUGAAGGUGUGCUGUGAGGCAUGCUGGAGGUAUCAGAAGUGCGAAUGCUGACAUAAGUAACGAUAAAGCGGGUGAAAAGCCCGCUCGCCGGAAGACCAAGGGUUCCUGUCCAACGUUAAUCGGGGCAGGGUGAGUCGACCCCUAAGGCGAGGCCGAAAGGCGUAGUCGAUGGGAAACAGGUUAAUAUUCCUGUACUUGGUGUUACUGCGAAGGGGGGACGGAGAAGGCUAUGUUGGCCGGGCGACGGUUGUCCCGGUUUAAGCGUGUAGGCUGGUUUUCCAGGCAAAUCCGGAAAAUCAAGGCUGAGGCGUGAUGACGAGGCACUACGGUGCUGAAGCAACAAAUGCCCUGCUUCCAGGAAAAGCCUCUAAGCAUCAGGUAACAUCAAAUCGUACCCCAAACCGACACAGGUGGUCAGGUAGAGAAUACCAAGGCGCUUGAGAGAACUCGGGUGAAGGAACUAGGCAAAAUGGUGCCGUAACUUCGGGAGAAGGCACGCUGAUAUGUAGGUGAAGUCCCUUGCGGAUGGAGCUGAAAUCAGUCGAAGAUACCAGCUGGCUGCAACUGUUUAUUAAAAACACAGCACUGUGCAAACACGAAAGUGGACGUAUACGGUGUGACGCCUGCCCGGUGCCGGAAGGUUAAUUGAUGGGGUCAGCGCAAGCGAAGCUCUUGAUCGAAGCCCCGGUAAACGGCGGCCGUAACUAUAACGGUCCUAAGGUAGCGAAAUUCCUUGUCGGGUAAGUUCCGACCUGCACGAAUGGCGUAAUGAUGGCCAGGCUGUCUCCACCCGAGACUCAGUGAAAUUGAACUCGCUGUGAAGAUGCAGUGUACCCGCGGCAAGACGGAAAGACCCCGUGAACCUUUACUAUAGCUUGACACUGAACAUUGAGCCUUGAUGUGUAGGAUAGGUGGGAGGCUUUGAAGUGUGGACGCCAGUCUGCAUGGAGCCGACCUUGAAAUACCACCCUUUAAUGUUUGAUGUUCUAACGUGGACCCGUGAUCCGGGUUGCGGACAGUGUCUGGUGGGUAGUUUGACUGGGGCGGUCUCCUCCUAAAGAGUAACGGAGGAGCACGAAGGUUGGCUAAUCCUGGUCGGACAUCAGGAGGUUAGUGCAAUGGCAUAAGCCAGCUUGACUGCGAGCGUGACGGCGCGAGCAGGUGCGAAAGCAGGUCAUAGUGAUCCGGUGGUUCUGAAUGGAAGGGCCAUCGCUCAACGGAUAAAAGGUACUCCGGGGAUAACAGGCUGAUACCGCCCAAGAGUUCAUAUCGACGGCGGUGUUUGGCACCUCGAUGUCGGCUCAUCACAUCCUGGGGCUGAAGUAGGUCCCAAGGGUAUGGCUGUUCGCCAUUUAAAGUGGUACGCGAGCUGGGUUUAGAACGUCGUGAGACAGUUCGGUCCCUAUCUGCCGUGGGCGCUGGAGAACUGAGGGGGGCUGCUCCUAGUACGAGAGGACCGGAGUGGACGCAUCACUGGUGUUCGGGUUGUCAUGCCAAUGGCACUGCCCGGUAGCUAAAUGCGGAAGAGAUAAGUGCUGAAAGCAUCUAAGCACGAAACUUGCC
Molecule: ribosomal RNA, 2508 nt
Filed under: Escherichia coli
Lineage: Bacteria; Pseudomonadati; Pseudomonadota; Gammaproteobacteria; Enterobacterales; Enterobacteriaceae
Description: bacterial LSU rRNA
Rfam family: Bacterial large subunit ribosomal RNA
Source: RNAcentral